This 416-nucleotide ribosomal RNA is filed under the name uncultured bacterium. RNAcentral describes it as "bacterial SSU rRNA". It matches the Rfam family "Bacterial small subunit ribosomal RNA", at positions 505 to 916 of the family's 1533-position model. The record is from RNAcentral.
GUGCCAGCAGCCGCGGUAAAACGUAGGAGGCAAGCGUUAUCCGGAGUUACUGGGCGUAAAGCGCGUGUAGGCGGUUGAGCAGGUCAGGUGUGAAAGCUCCCAGGCUAAACCGGGAGAGGUCACUUGAAACCGCUCGGCUAGAGUACGAUAGAGGGGUGUAGAAUUCCGGGUGUAGUGGUGAAAUGCGCAGAUAUCCGGAGGAAUACCAGUGGCGAAGGCGGCACCCUAGGUCGAAACUGACGCUGAGACGCGAAAGCAUGGGGAGCGAACGGGAUUAGAGACCCCGGUAGUCCAUGCCGUAAACGAUGCAUACUGACUGUUCGUGACGGGAAACCGUUGGGAGUGGUGAAGCAAACGCGAUAAGUAUGCCGCCUGAGGAGUACGGUCGCAAGGCUAAAACUCAAAUGAAUUGACGG